GGCCCUUUUUUCCCACCACCGGAGGCAGGUAAGCUAGCUCCACCAGCCACGGCUUCCUUGCCUGGCUUCUCACCGGGCCCGAGGACCGAGAGAGCCAGAGUAAAAGACUUCAACACUUCUUCAAAGAGAACUCCAGCCCUCUCCACCUGCUCGUUAGCCGGAUUCAUCGGUGAAACCAGAGCUCUUAGCUGGCUUGUGAGCUCCCGCCCCCGGCUGAGCUCCUCUAUCGCCAUCGAAUGGUUGAGGGUGGGCAAUUUUUCUGCCUCAGGGUUUAACAUCUUGUUUACCUUCAAGUCCAAAUGACCAUCGAGCAAAUCAAAUGGCUUCGUUCUUAGAUCUCUAAUUUUUUGUGGCUGUCUGGAUAUAUAUAGACUUUAAGUGGAAGAGCUAGGGAAAGGAGUUCCAAGAGAUGCACAUUUAGUUAGCACGUUCGCAAGAUAGGUGGGACAAUUAUUUAAAUGAGGGUUUGUUUGUUUGCAAUGAGUUGGAAUGAGCAAGUCCAAAUUUCUUAUAAACAUGAUGGUAGGUAAAAAAAAUACCUAAAAGAGAAGGAACAGCCCGUCAUUUCAUUUCAUGAGAUUAUAAAAAUGAAAAGCAAUACAAAAACAAUACAAAACAAGAACAAAUAGGGACCUUGAAUAAUUUCCCCGACACCUUCUUUUU
RNAcentral lists this long non-coding RNA (663 nucleotides) under Phoenix dactylifera (date palm). Its description in RNAcentral is "long non-coding RNA (PDAC_LNC016059)". Lineage: Eukaryota; Viridiplantae; Streptophyta; Magnoliopsida; Arecales; Arecaceae. The record is from RNAcentral.